GGAUGCGAUCAUACCAGCACUAAAGCACCGGAUCCCAUCAGAACUCCGAAGUUAAGCGUGCUUGGGCACCUGGGAAGUCCUCGUGUUGCAUUCC
Molecule: ribosomal RNA, 94 nt
Filed under: Sorghum bicolor (sorghum)
Lineage: Eukaryota; Viridiplantae; Streptophyta; Magnoliopsida; Poales; Poaceae
Source: RNAcentral